UUUGAACGCUGGCGGCAGGCCUAACACAUGCAAGUCGAGCGGCAGCGGAAAGUAGCUUGCUACUUUGCCGGCGAGCGGCGGACGGGUGAGUAAUGUCUGGGAAACUGCCUGAUGGAGGGGGAUAACUACUGGAAACGGUAGCUAAUACCGCAUAACGUCGCAAGACCAAAGGGGGGGACCUUCGGGCCUCUUGCCAUCAGAUGUGCCCAGAUGGGAUUAGCUAGUAGGUGGGGUAACGGCUCACCUAGGCGACGAUCCCUAGCCGGUCUGAGAGGAUGACCAGCCCCACUGGAACUGAGACACGGUCCAGACUCCUACGGGAGGCAGCAGUGGGGAAUAUUGCACAAUGGGCGCAAGCCUGAUGCAGCCAUGCCGCGUGUAUGAAGAAGGCCUUCGGGUUGUAAAGUACUUUCAGCGGGGAGGAAGGCGAUAAGGUUAAUAACCUUGUCGAUUGACGUUACCCGCAGAAGAAGCACCGGCUAACUCCGUGCCAGCAGCCGCGGUAA
Molecule: ribosomal RNA, 506 nt
Filed under: uncultured bacterium
Lineage: Bacteria
Description: partial 16S ribosomal RNA
Rfam family: Bacterial small subunit ribosomal RNA
Source: RNAcentral